AAAGAAUAGGACAUAGUGUCUGCCUUUGAUCAGUUACAUAAACAAAUGAUAUGGGUUCCUGUAGAAGAUGUACUAAAGUAGUGGGGUUUCUCAUAUGGUUUUUUGCCAUCCUAUAUUUUCUUUGGUGAAGUGUUUGAAUUUUUUUGGCUUUAGUUAUUCAUUUUAUUUUUAUUAUUAUAAAGUUCCUUAUAUAUUCUGAAUACAAAUUCUUCAUCAGACAUGUAUUUUGCACACAUUUACUUCUAGUCUCUGGCUCAUCU
Molecule: long non-coding RNA, 260 nt
Filed under: Pan troglodytes (chimpanzee)
Lineage: Eukaryota; Metazoa; Chordata; Mammalia; Primates; Hominidae
Description: long non-coding RNA NONPTRT003950
Source: RNAcentral